AUUGAACGCUGGCGGCAGGCCUGACACAUGCAAGUCGAGCGAGCGGCGGACGGGUGAGUAAUGGCUGGGAAACUGCCUGAUGGAGGGGGGUAACUCCUGGAAACGGUAGCUAAUACCGCAUACCCUCAGAUGUGCCCAUAGUGGAUUAGCUCGUAGGUGGGGUAACGGCUCACCUAGGCGACGAUCCCUAGCUGGUCUGAGAGGAUGACCAGCCACACGUGAACUUAGACGCGGUCCAGACUCCUACGGGAGGCAGCAGUGGGGAAUAUUGCACAAUGGGCGCAAGCCUGAUGCAGCCAUGCCGCGUGUGUGAAGAAGGCCUUCGGGUUGUAAAGCACUUUCAGCGGGGAGGCGUUACCCGCAGAAGAAGCACCGGCUAACUCCGUGCCAGCAGCCGCGGUAAUAC
Molecule: ribosomal RNA, 406 nt
Filed under: uncultured bacterium
Lineage: Bacteria
Description: partial 16S ribosomal RNA
Rfam family: Bacterial small subunit ribosomal RNA
Source: RNAcentral